This 71-nucleotide transfer RNA is filed under the name Atta texana. RNAcentral's name for it is "tRNA-Met". The record is from RNAcentral. Lineage: Eukaryota; Metazoa; Arthropoda; Insecta; Hymenoptera; Formicidae.
AAAUAAGUAAGCUAAUUCACAAGCUUUUAGACUCAUACUCUAAAAAUAGAGAAAAUUAUCUCUCUUAUUUA